This 253-nucleotide ribosomal RNA is filed under the name uncultured bacterium. RNAcentral's name for it is "partial 16S ribosomal RNA". It matches the Rfam family "Bacterial small subunit ribosomal RNA", at positions 524 to 776 of the family's 1533-position model. The record is from RNAcentral.
UACGGAGGGUGCGAACGUUAAUCGGAAUCACUGGGCGUAAAGCGCGCGUAGGCGGUCCGUUAAGUGGGAUGUGAAAUCCCCGGGCUUAACCUGGGAAUUGCAUUUCAAACUGGCGGACUAGAGUGCGGUAGAGGGAGGUAGAAUUUCCUGUGUAGCGGUGAAAUGCGUAGAUAUAGGAAGGAAUACCAGUGGCGAAGGCAGCCCCCUGGGCUAACACUGACGCUCAUGCACGAAAGCGUGGGGAGCAAACAGG